RNAcentral lists this ribosomal RNA (784 nucleotides) under uncultured Actinomycetes bacterium. RNAcentral's name for it is "bacterial SSU rRNA". It matches the Rfam family "Bacterial small subunit ribosomal RNA", at positions 8 to 796 of the family's 1533-position model. Lineage: Bacteria; Bacillati; Actinomycetota; Actinomycetes. The record is from RNAcentral.
AGAGUUUGAUCAUGGCUCAGGACGAACGCUGGCGGCGUGCUUAACACAUGCAAGUCGAGGGAGAACUCCAGGAGGGGUAACCCUCCUGGGGGGAGACCGGCGAACGGGUGAGUAACACGUGGGCAACCUACCCCAGGCUCCGGGAUAACCUCGGGAAACCGGGGCUAAUACCGGAUACGCUGCUCGGACCGCAUGACCCGAGCAGGAAAGCUCCGGCGGCCUGGGACGGGCCCGCGGCCUAUCAGCUUGUUGGUGGGGUAAUGGCCCACCAAGGCGACGACGGGUAGCUGGCGUGAGAGCGUGGCCAGCCACACUGGGACUGAGACACGGCCCAGACUCCUACGGGAGGCAGCAGUGGGGAAUCUUGCGCAAUGGGGGCAACCCUGACGCAGCGACGCCGCGUGCGGGAUGAAGGCCUUCGGGUUGUAAACCGCUUUCAGCGGGGACGAAGCGAAAGUGACGGUACCCGCAGAAGAAGCCCCGGCUAACUACGUGCCAGCAGCCGCGGUAAGACGUAGGGGGCGAGCGUUGUCCGGAUUCAUUGGGCGUAAAGCGCGCGCAGGCGGCCCGGUAAGUCGGAUGUGAAAACCCGGGGCUCAACCCCGGGCGGUCAUUCGAUACUGCCAGGCUCGAGGCAGGUAGGGGAGAGCGGAAUUCCCGGUGUAGCGGUGAAAUGCGCAGAUAUCGGGAGGAACACCGGUGGCGAAGGCGGCUCUCUGGGCCUGUCCUGACGCUCAGGCGCGAAAGCUGGGGGAGCGAACAGGAUUAGAUACCCCGGUAGUCC